This 152-nucleotide ribosomal RNA is filed under the name Gimesia maris. RNAcentral describes it as "partial 23S ribosomal RNA". It matches the Rfam family "Bacterial large subunit ribosomal RNA", at positions 2763 to 2925 of the family's 2925-position model. The record is from RNAcentral. Lineage: Bacteria; Pseudomonadati; Planctomycetota; Planctomycetia; Planctomycetales; Planctomycetaceae.
GAUAAGCGCUGAAAGCAUCUAAGCGCGAAGCCUCUCCCAAGAUUAGGUUUCGUUUGAGUCCCCUGGAAGACUACCAGGUUGAUAGGCCGGAAGUGUAAGGUGAGUAAUCAUUUCAGCUGACCGGUACUAAUGGACGAAUGCUUAGCCGUUUU